GACGAACGCUGGCGGCGUGCUUAACACAUGCCAGUCGAACGGAAAGGCCCUGCUUUUGUGGGGUGCUCGAGUGGCGAACGGGUGAGUAACACGUGAGUAACCUGCCCUGGACUUUGGGAUAACUUCAGGAAACUGGGGCUAAUACCGGAUAGGAGCUCCUGCUGCAUGGUGGGGGUUGGAAAUUUUCGGCGGUUGGGGAUGGACUCGCGGCUUAUCAGCUUGUUGGUGGGGUAGUGGCUUACCAAGGCUUUGACGGGUAGCCGGCCUGAGAGGGUGACCGGCCACAUUGGGACUGAGAUACGGCCCAGACUCCUACGGGAGGCAGCAGUGGGGAAUAUUGCACAAUGGGCGGAAGCCUGAUGCAGCAACGCCGCGUGCGGGAUGACGGCCUUCGGGUUGUAAACCGCUUUCGCCUGUGACGAAGCGUGAGUGACGGUAAUGGGUAAAGAAGCACCGGCUAACUACGUG
Molecule: ribosomal RNA, 468 nt
Filed under: uncultured bacterium
Lineage: Bacteria
Description: partial 16S ribosomal RNA
Rfam family: Bacterial small subunit ribosomal RNA
Source: RNAcentral